This 309-nucleotide ribosomal RNA is filed under the name uncultured soil bacterium. RNAcentral's name for it is "bacterial SSU rRNA". It matches the Rfam family "Bacterial small subunit ribosomal RNA", at positions 27 to 346 of the family's 1533-position model. The record is from RNAcentral.
GGAUUGAACGCUGGCGGCAUGCCUAACACAUGCAAGUCGAACGGGAGUAGCAAUACUCUAGUGGCGGACGGGUGAGGAAUACGUAGGAAUUUGCCCUUAAGUGGGGGAUAACCCGGGGAAACCCGGAUUAAUACCGCAUGACCUCGAAAGAGCAAAGUGGGGGAUCGCAAGACCUCACGCUUUUGGAGAAGCCUACGUCGGAUUAGCUAGUUGGUGAGGUAAUGGCCCACCAAGGCGACGAUCCGUAAAUUGGUCUGAGAGGAUGAUCAGUCACACCGGAACUGAGACACGGUCCGGACUCCUACGGGA